Molecule: ribosomal RNA, 496 nt
Filed under: uncultured bacterium
Lineage: Bacteria
Description: partial 16S ribosomal RNA
Rfam family: Bacterial small subunit ribosomal RNA
Source: RNAcentral
GAUGAACGCUGGCGGCGUGCCUAAUACAUGCCAGUCGAGCGAACAGACGAGGAGCUUGCUCCUCUGACGUUAGCGGCGGACGGGUGAGUAACACGUGGAUAACCUACCUAUAAGACUGGGAUAACUUCGGGAAACCGGAGCUAAUACCGGAUAAUAUAUUGAACCGCAUGGUUCAAUAGUGAAAGACGGUUUUGCUGUCACUUAUAGAUGGAUCCGCGCCGCAUUAGCUAGUUGGUAAGGUAACGGCUUACCAAGGCAACGAUGCGUAGCCGACCUGAGAGGGUGAUCGGCCACACUGGAACUGAGACACGGUCCAGACUCCUACGGGAGGCAGCAGUAGGGAAUCUUCCGCAAUGGGCGAAAGCCUGACGGAGCAACGCCGCGUGAGUGAAGAAGGUCUUCGGAUCGUAAAACUCUGUUAUUAGGGAAGAACAAAUGUGUAAGUAACUAUGCACGUCUUGACGGUACCUAAUCAGAAAGCCACGGCUAACUACGU